UCCCAGGUAGCUCAAAUAGUAAAGAAUCUGUCUGCUAUGCAGGAGACCUGGGUUUGAUCCCUGGUUUGAGAA
Transfer RNA from Ovis aries (sheep), 72 nucleotides. It matches the Rfam family "tRNA". From Rfam's summary of the family: Transfer RNA (tRNA) molecules are approximately 80 nucleotides in length. Their secondary structure includes four short double-helical elements and three loops (D, anti-codon, and T loops). Further hydrogen bonds mediate the characteristic L-shaped molecular structure. tRNAs have two regions of fundamental functional importance: the anti-codon, which is responsible for specific mRNA codon recognition, and the 3' end, to which the tRNAs corresponding amino acid is attached (by aminoacyl-tRNA synthetases). tRNAs cope with the degeneracy of the genetic code in two manners: having more than one tRNA (with a specific anti-codon) for a particular amino acid; and 'wobble' base-pairing, i.e. permitting non-standard base-pairing at the 3rd anti-codon position. Lineage: Eukaryota; Metazoa; Chordata; Mammalia; Artiodactyla; Bovidae. The record is from Rfam.